RNAcentral lists this ribosomal RNA (662 nucleotides) under uncultured marine archaeon. Its description in RNAcentral is "bacterial SSU rRNA". It matches the Rfam family "Archaeal small subunit ribosomal RNA", at positions 27 to 690 of the family's 1478-position model. The record is from RNAcentral.
CCGCUAUUGGAGUUCGAUUAAGCCAUGCGAGUCGAGAGUCCUCGGGACUCGGCGUACCGCUCAGUAACACGUGGGUAACCUGCCCUAUGCUGGGGAAUAACCUCGGGAAACUGAGAAUAAUGCCCCAUAGCCCACUACGCCUGGAACGGUGAGUGGGUCAAAGCCCCGGCGGCAUAGGAUGGGCCUGCGCCGUAUCAGGUUGUAGGGGGUGUAAAGUACCCUCUAGCCAUCAACGCGUACGGGUGUUGGGAGACAUUGCCCGGAGAUGGAUUCUGAGACACGAAUCCAGACCCUACGGGGUGCAGCAGGCGCGAAAACUUGGCAAUGCGAGAAAUCGUGACCAGGGAACUCCAAGUGCGUAGGGUAAGACCUACGCUUUUCUUGACUCUUCAAAGGUCUUGGAGUAAGGGGUGGGUAAGGACCGGUGCCAGCCCGCCGCGGUAAUACCGGCGCCUCAAGUGGUAGUCGCUUUUAUUGGGCCUAAAACGUCCGUAGCCGGUCUGGUGCAUUCGUGGGUAAAUCAACCCGCUCAACGGGUUGAAUUCUGCGAGCACGGCCAGACUUGGGACCGGGAGAGGUGUGGGGGUACUCUCAGGGUAGGGGUAAAAUCCUGUCUUCCUGAGAGGACCACCCUGUUGCGAAGGCGCCACACUAGAACGGAU